UACGAAGGGGGCUAGCGUUGUUCGGAUUUACUGGGCGUAAAGCGCACGUAGGCGGAUCGAUCAGUCAGGGGUGAAAUCCCAGAGCUCAACUCUGGAACUGCCUUUGAUACUGUCGAUCUGGAGUAUGGAAGAGGUGGGUGGAAUUCCGAGUGUAGAGGUGAAAUUCGUAGAUAUUCGGAGGAACACCAGUGGCGAAGGCGGCUCACUGGUCCAUUACUGACGCUGAGGUGCGAAAGCGUGGGGAGCAAACAGG
Molecule: ribosomal RNA, 253 nt
Filed under: uncultured bacterium
Lineage: Bacteria
Description: partial 16S ribosomal RNA
Rfam family: Bacterial small subunit ribosomal RNA
Source: RNAcentral